Molecule: ribosomal RNA, 253 nt
Filed under: uncultured bacterium
Lineage: Bacteria
Description: partial 16S ribosomal RNA
Rfam family: Bacterial small subunit ribosomal RNA
Source: RNAcentral
CACGUAGGGGGCGAGCGUUGUCCGGAUUCAUUGGGCGUAAAGGGUGCGUAGGCGGCGCGGUAAGUCGGGUGUGAAAUCUCGGGGCUUAACUCCGAAACUGCAUUCGAUACUGCCGUGCUUGAGGACUGGAGAGGAGACUGGAAUUUACGGUGUAGCGGUGAAAUGCGUAGAUAUCGUAAGGAAGACCAGUGGCGAAGGCGGGUCUCUGGACAGUUCCUGACGCUGAGGCACGAAGGCCAGGGGAGCAAGCGGG